RNAcentral lists this long non-coding RNA (1962 nucleotides) under Mytilus galloprovincialis (Mediterranean mussel). The record is from RNAcentral. Lineage: Eukaryota; Metazoa; Mollusca; Bivalvia; Mytilida; Mytilidae.
UUUUUUUUUUUUUUUUAAAUUAGAAGGUAAGUCUACAUAUAUUACGUACAUGGGGGGACAUAUAUACUUGCCUCCCCAUGCCGCUAAAGUUAUAUUUGCUUAAGAGCAACAAAAACACGUCUAUUUCCAUAGCACGUUUAUUUCAAAGAGACAGAUAACAUCACAUGACAAAUAUGCAUCAUUAUCAUACAAUGGGACGCAACUCUCACGACUUAACUACAAAACACAUACGACCAUACAAUACAGAUACAUAACAUCCCGCCCCCAAAAAGAAAAUUUCCCAAAUUUUAUAAAAUGGUGUAUGUGUUUUUUCCAUAUACAAUUUACAGAAAAAGAGAAAAUAUAAUAUAAAUUCAAACUUCAUAAUCACUUCCGUAUAAGACUAAAAUCAGUUUCCAAAUAUUCAUGUAAAUACAUUUAUAAUAACUGAAAUACUCGUGGCUGACCAGUUCUCACAACUAGCAUCCAUUGGCAUACACACCAGUAUCAACAAUGCAGAAAAAUCCGAACGUCUGGCAUCUCGAUCUCCCCCUUAGGACCUUAUGCACGCAUUACGUUCAUUCAACAACACAAAAAAAAUAUGCAUUUGAUACAUUUACUCAAUCUACUAAAUGGAAAGUACUAGAAUAUUGUCAUAAAUGUAGCUGUAUACAUCAAAUUGAUAGAUAAUCAUCAGAGACCUUUAACUCUUAAAAAUAGUAAAUAUUACAUCAAUGAAACACUUCAUAAGUUACAUAUGCAGUCAAAAGAAAAUACGACUAAUUCUCCCUCUCUCUCUAACAUGGCCAAUCUCUCAUACUACGCACUCACAAAAUAAAAUAAAGAUGAAACAAAUGAAAAGCUCCAGAAAUGUCAAUAUCAACCUAGGUUUUAUUUAUGACUAUUAUCUCACCGCUACUGACAAUCCGCUAUCAAAUCAGUCCAACUGUUAACAGAAAUAUAUGUAUUUAUAAUAAAAUAAAAAACACAAAUUAAAAAAAUCCUUUAAACAAAAUUGAAUUCAUAAUUAAAGUCGGUGUUUUCCUUUUAACUGGGUAGCGUACGACGAGAUAAAUCUCACACGUACCGUCUGUAGUAUAAUUUAAAUACUUCAAAACUGCAACACAUUUCCCCUGCUAAAUCCUAAAUACACAUAUAAGUCAAGCUGAUUAGUUAGUAAAGAUAACGCCAAUCACUUUAGCAAUUAUUUUCGAAGUACUGUAAGAUGAUAGGACGGGACGUCACAUGACACAUGCUACAGUUUUCUGCACACAUAAACAUACACAGCUGCCCUCCUUAAUUAUGUCCAUCUCUAACGCGGUCAAAAGUUUAAAAUUGUGUAGAAAUUUCGAUAGCGUCCAACAGUCGAAAUGAAAAUUAAAGUUCAGAUGACAAUAAACAAUUGCGAAAUACUUUCGAUAGUAAUAUGCAUGUACAAUGUAGUUUAAAAACAGUUCCUUGAAUUUUACCGUUUUCUUUUGUUGACGAAAACUCCCAUGGUGAUUCAGUCUGAAUAUUAGUUAAAUCCAAAUUUAACUUUUGAAACAUCAAAAUUUUACAUAAAAUCCAAAAAUUGAUUCCAGUGUCAACUGCAUGGUACAGCUAAACUCCACUGAACGAAAAUGCCAAGAGUCCAACGUGGUCAAAAUGUUAUAAUGGCGCCGCCAGCCUCGUUGUCUAGACUUUCAGAAAGUUGAUGCUUCAUCUUUGGGGACAGCUCACAUAAAAUACAUAUAAAGGGGUCGUUUUGAAGUCCUCCACCAUAUUACGUACAUGGGGGGACAUAUAUACUUGCCUCCCCAUGCCGCUAAAGUUAUAUUUGCUUAAGAGCAACAAAAACACGUCUAUUUCCAUAGCACGUUUAUUUCAAAGAGACAGAUAACAUCACAUGACAAAUAUGCAUCAUUAUCAUACAAUGGGACGCAACUCUCACGACUUAACUACAAAACACAUACGACCAUACAAUACAGAUACAUAACACAU